This 253-nucleotide ribosomal RNA is filed under the name uncultured bacterium. RNAcentral's name for it is "partial 16S ribosomal RNA". It matches the Rfam family "Bacterial small subunit ribosomal RNA", at positions 524 to 776 of the family's 1533-position model. The record is from RNAcentral.
UACGAAGGGUCCAAGCGUUGUUCGGAAUCAUUGGGCGUAAAGCGCGCGCAGGCGGAUCAGCAAGUCAGAUGUGAAAUCUCGGAGCUCAACUUCGAAACUGCGUCUGAAACUGCUAGUCUAGAAUGUCGGAGGGGGCAGGGGAAUUUCACGUGUAGGGGUAAAAUCCGUAGAGAUGUGAAGGAACACCGGGGGCGAAGGCGCCUGCCUGGACGACUAUCGACGCUGAGGCGCGAAAGCGUGGGGAGCAAACAGG